AAUGAACGUUGGCGGCGUGGAUUAGGCAUGCAAGUCGAACGAAUCCCGUAGCAAUACGGGGGAAGUGGCGAAAGGGGCAGUAAGGCAUGGACAACCUGCCCCCGGCUCCAGGAUAGCCUUCCUAACGGAUGGGUAAUACUGGGUACGCUCCUCUGAAGACAUCUUCGGGGGAGGAUAGCUCCGGCGGCCGGGGAGGGGUUCAUGUGAUAUUAGCUAGUUGGUGGGGUAACGGCCCACCAAGGCGAAGAUGUCUAGCGGGUGUGAGAGCACGACCCGCGCCACUGGCACUGGGACACUGGCCAGACUCCUACGGGAGGCUGCAGUCGAGGAUCUUCGGCAAUGGGCGCAAGCCUGACCGAGCGACGCCGCGUGAGCGAUGAAGGCCUUCGGGUCGUAAAGCUCUGUCGGGGGGGAGGAAAGGGUUAAACCUUGAUCGACCCCCGGACGGAAGCACGGGCUAAGUUCGUG
RNAcentral lists this ribosomal RNA (468 nucleotides) under uncultured bacterium. RNAcentral describes it as "bacterial SSU rRNA". It matches the Rfam family "Bacterial small subunit ribosomal RNA", at positions 28 to 507 of the family's 1533-position model. The record is from RNAcentral.